This 158-nucleotide unclassified non-coding RNA is filed under the name soil metagenome. RNAcentral describes it as "partial internal transcribed spacer 1". The record is from RNAcentral.
UAAUAAGUCGUUUUUAUGGCACUUUUAAAUCCAUAUCCACCUUGUGUGCAAUGUCCAGCUCAGACAGUCCUUCUUCAUGGGAGGAUCGACCCAAACAUCAACCUUUAUUUUUUAACUCUUUGUCUGAAAAAUAUUAUGAAUAAACAAUUCAAAAUUAC